AGCGUAGACGGCGCAGCAAGUCUGAUGUGAAAGGCAGGGGCUUAACCCCUGGACUGCAUUGGAAACUGUUGUGCUUGAGUGCCGGAGGGGUAAGCGGAAUUCCUAGUGUAGCGGUGAAAUGCGUAGAUAUUAGGAGGAACACCAGUGGCGAAGGCGGCUUACUGGACGGUAACUGACGUUGAGGCUCGAAAGCGUGGGGAGCAAACA
Molecule: ribosomal RNA, 207 nt
Filed under: uncultured bacterium
Lineage: Bacteria
Description: partial 16S ribosomal RNA
Rfam family: Bacterial small subunit ribosomal RNA
Source: RNAcentral